RNAcentral lists this ribosomal RNA (497 nucleotides) under uncultured bacterium. RNAcentral describes it as "partial 16S ribosomal RNA". It matches the Rfam family "Bacterial small subunit ribosomal RNA", at positions 28 to 507 of the family's 1533-position model. The record is from RNAcentral.
GACGAACGCUGGCGGCGUGCCUAAUACAUGCGAGUUGAGCGAUGAAGAUUGGUGCUUGCACCAAUUUGAAGAGCAGCGAACGGGUGAGUAACGCGUGGGGAAUCUGCCUUUGAGCGGGGGACAACAUUUGGAAACGAAUGCUAAUACCGCAUAACAACUUUAAACAUAAGUUUUAAGUUUGAAAGAUGCAAUUGCAUCACUCAAAGAUGAUCCCGCGUUGUAUUAGCUAGUUGGUGAGGUAAAGGCUCACCAAGGCGAUGAUACAUAGCCGACCUGAGAGGGUGAUCGGCCACAUUGGGACUGAGACACGGCCCAAACUCCUACGGGAGGCAGCAGUAGGGAAUCUUCGGCAACGGACGAAAGUCUGACCGAGCAACGCCGCGUGAGUGAAGAAGGUUUUCGGAUCGUAAAACUCUGUUGGUAGAGAAGAACGUUGGUGAGAGUGGAAAGCUCAUCAAGUGACGGUAACUACCCAGAAAGGGACGGCUAACUACGUG